Molecule: regulatory RNA element, 54 nt
Rfam family: COG3860 RNA
Source: Rfam
GGGUCUGCAGAUCACCCAGGCGUCACCGCCCCGAAAGGGGAGCUAAACCUGCAA